Molecule: ribosomal RNA, 1440 nt
Filed under: Triticum aestivum (bread wheat)
Lineage: Eukaryota; Viridiplantae; Streptophyta; Magnoliopsida; Poales; Poaceae
Description: partial small subunit ribosomal RNA
Source: RNAcentral
AUGGAUAUCCUCAGCAGCUGUUCAUUGGCAUGGGGGUUGAGACAGGGAGACCCACUUUCGCCCUAUUUGUUCCUAUUUUCUGUUGAAGAAUUCUCAGCUUUGCUCAAGAAAGCACAACAGAACAAAGACAUUAAGGGUGUAUCUUUUGGGAGCACUGACCCCCACAUCACACACCUAUUGUUUGCUGAUGAUAGCAUUGUGUUUUUGGAAGGAUCCCAGGAUAAUUUGGCGGCUCUUAAAGUGACCCUUAUGAAGUAUGAGGCAGCUUCCGGACAAAAAGUUAAUCUUCAAAAAUCCUCAAUUUUUUUCGGGAAGGGAUGUCCUCCAGAGGAGAAGGGGCCGCUAAUGCAGGCUAUUGGGAUUCAAACUGAAGCACUCAAUAAGAGGUACUUGGGCCUGCCAACAGUGGUGGGGAAAUCCAAGGAUGGAACUUUCAAAUAUGUAACUGAGUGCUCGAAAGUGUCCGAUUCCCUGUGCGCUAGGGUUUUGAAGGCCCGGUACUUCAAAGAGGGGACUAUUAUGAGCGCAACUUGUCCAUCCGGUGCAUCUUAUACGUUCCGCAGCAUGAUAUAUGGGCGCGACUUGCUGAGAGAAGGCACAAUCUGGCGCAUAGGGGACAAGUCCAGAAUAAAUGUUCACCAUGAUAACUGGAUCCCAAGACAAGGAAGUCUGAAGCCUCUUGGGCAAACCUUUGUUCAGGGCGUUCUCAAGGUGCAAAAUCUUAUGACAUCUGAUGGAAGGGGAUGUAAUACGGAGCUGGUUGAUGACAUGUUUUCGCCAGAUGAUGCGAGGGAUAUCAAGCAAAUAGCUAUUGGAGGGCCACAUAUGGAUGACUAUAUUGCAUGGAACUUCACGAAGAAUGGGCAGUUUACGGUGAGAUCAGCCUAUCACCUGAGAAUGUCCUUGAACGGGGUGAAGACCGGACGGCUGGGUCCUUCUUCCUCGGUUAACAAACACAAGGGCUGGCUUGCUUUGUGGGACUCUUGUGCCCCUAAUAAGGCAAAAAUUCAUAUGUGGAGGCUAAUGAGGAAUGGGUUGGCUGUUGGGACAGAGCUCCAUCAUCGUCAUAUCAAGCCGGGGGUUUUCUGUGUGGCAUGUGGAAGAGAAGAGACACUCCUUCACAGAUUCUGGACAUGCCCACACUCAGCCGUGUUUUGGAAGUUGUUGUGCUCGGAGAAAGGAGUUACGGUGGCAGCCCCACCGUGUCAGAUCGACUCCUCAAGUGCGCUGUCAUCAUGGCUACUAGGGUGGUUCGCGGAUGCAAGGGAUGAUGAGAGAGCAACGAUGAUUCAGGCCUGCUACAAACUGUGGAUGGCGAGGAACGAGGCGAGGGAUGUGGCUUGCUGUUCACAGGAAGGAGGCUCCGGUCAUAUUAGGCUCAAUGGGCCCAAGUCCAAUCAUGCAAGUAGCUGGCCGAUGGGACGCUGCCGGGUUAAUUAG